This is a non-coding RNA of Pimephales promelas (fathead minnow), 379 nucleotides long. NCBI's taxonomy places the organism in Eukaryota, Metazoa, Chordata, Actinopteri, Cypriniformes, Leuciscidae. The record is from the annotation of a RefSeq genome assembly.
CAGACACAGUCAUGUCACACAUGUUGAAGAAUGUAUUUCUCUUCGCACUAUUUAUUUUUGGGUGCAUAUCAGAGGACUCAGUUGAUCAGCCAGACAAACAUUUGACUGAAACUGAAGGAAGAUCUGUGACAUUACAGUGUAAAUAUAAAACAGAUUCAGUACAAGAAAAUAUAUUCUGGUAUAUCCAGAGAGCAAACGACUUUCCUAAAUACAUCCUGAGGAGAAGCAAAUAUGGAGGAGAAAAUGGCACUGAGUUCCAGGAGAGAUUUCACUCUGAACUUUCAUCAAACUCAGUUCCUCUGAUGAUCAAGGAUUUAUCGGCAUGGAGAGAUGUAAGGCCGCUGACUAUAUGGACAUGAUGUUGCUCAGAGAGGAGGGA